CAGAACUUAAAUGAAUUGACGGGGCCCGCACAAGCGGUGGAGUAUGUGGUUUAAUUCGAUGCAACGCGAAGAACCUUACCUGGUCUUGACAUCCCGGAGACCCUUAGGAAACUAGGGGGUGCUUCCAUCUGGAAGAAUCUGGAGACAGGUGCUGCAUGGCUGUCGUCAGCUCGUGUCGUGAGAUGUUGGGUUAAGUCCCGCAACGAGCGCAACCCUUGCCUUUAGUUGCCAGCAGUUCGGCUGGGCACUCUAAAGGGACUGCCGGUGUUAAACCGGAGGAAGGUGGGGAUGACGUCAAGUCCUCAUGGCCCUUACGGCCUGGGCUACACACGUGCUACAAUGGUCGGUACAAAGGGUUGCCAAGCCGCGAGGUGGAGCUAAUCCCAUAAAACCGAUCGUAGUCCGGAUCGCAGUCUGCAACUCGACUGCGUGAAGUCGGAAUCGCUAGUAAUCGUGAAUCAGAAUGUCACGGUGAAUACGUUCCCGGGCCUU
RNAcentral lists this ribosomal RNA (492 nucleotides) under uncultured Desulfobulbus sp. RNAcentral's name for it is "bacterial SSU rRNA". It matches the Rfam family "Bacterial small subunit ribosomal RNA", at positions 895 to 1382 of the family's 1533-position model. The record is from RNAcentral. Lineage: Bacteria; Pseudomonadati; Thermodesulfobacteriota; Desulfobulbia; Desulfobulbales; Desulfobulbaceae.